CCUACGGGUGGCAGCAGUGGGGAAUAUUGCACAAUGGGGGAAACCCUGAUGCAGCGACGCCGCGUGAGUGAAGAAGUAAUUCGUGAUGUAAAGCUCUAUCAGCAGGGAAGAAAAUGACGGUACCUGAGCAAGAAGCCCCGGCUAACUACGUGCCAGCAGCCGCGGUAAUACGUAGGGUGCGAGCGUUAACCGGACUUACUGGGUGUAAAGGGAGCGUAGACGGUAGUGCAAGUCUGGAGUGAAGUGCGCGGGCUCAACGCGCGGACUGCUCUUGAAACUGUACAGCUGGAGUGUGGGAGAGGAAAGUGGAAUUCCAGGUGUAGGAGUGAAAUGCGUAGAUAUUAGGAGGAACACCAGUGGCGAAGGCGACUUACUGGACCGUAACUGACGUUGAGGAUCGAAAGCGUGGGUAGCAAACAGGAUUAGAUACCCGUGUAGUC
This 440-nucleotide ribosomal RNA is filed under the name uncultured bacterium. RNAcentral's name for it is "partial 16S ribosomal RNA". It matches the Rfam family "Bacterial small subunit ribosomal RNA", at positions 338 to 795 of the family's 1533-position model. The record is from RNAcentral.